RNAcentral lists this ribosomal RNA (497 nucleotides) under uncultured bacterium. RNAcentral describes it as "partial 16S ribosomal RNA". It matches the Rfam family "Bacterial small subunit ribosomal RNA", at positions 28 to 507 of the family's 1533-position model. The record is from RNAcentral.
GAUGAACGCUGGCGGCGUGCCUAAUACAUGCAAGUCGAGCGAACAGACGAGGAGCUUGCUCCUCUGACGUUAGCGGCGGACGGGUGAGUAACACGUGGAUAACCUACCUAUAAGACUGGGAUAACUUCGGGAAACCGGAGCUAAUACCGGAUAAUAUAUUGAACCGCAUGGUUCAAUAGUGAAAGACGGUUUUGCUGUCACUUAUAGAUGGAUCCGCGCCGCAUUAGCUAGUUGGUAAGGUAACGGCUUACCAAGGCAACGAUGCGUAGCCCACCUAAGAGGGAGAGGGCCAAAACGGGAACAGGAGCGCGGCACGACGCCCGAGGGGGGGCGGAGGGAGGCAUUCUUGGGCAAUGGGAGAAGGCCGAAGGACGAACCGCGGCGGGGAGAAUAAGGUUCUUGGUAUAGAAAAACUGUUUUAUAGGGAAAAAAAAAUUGUGUAGUUAACAAUGCACGUUUGGACGUACCAUAACAAAAGGGCCCGGGCUAACUAGGUC